Molecule: small RNA, 127 nt
Filed under: Marmota monax (woodchuck)
Lineage: Eukaryota; Metazoa; Chordata; Mammalia; Rodentia; Sciuridae
Source: RNAcentral
GCCGGGUGUGGUGGUGCACUCCUGUAAUCCCAGCAACUUGGGAGGCUGAGGCAGGAGAUCACAAGUUCAAAGUCAGUCUCAGCAACUUAGCAGGGCCCUAAAACAACUCAGCAAGACCCUGCCUCUA